Molecule: long non-coding RNA, 317 nt
Filed under: Struthio camelus australis
Lineage: Eukaryota; Metazoa; Chordata; Aves; Struthioniformes; Struthionidae
Description: lncRNA (ENSSCUG00000010066.1)
Source: RNAcentral
CCAGCAUGCCCUACCAUUCCUUCAAACAAGCAUUCACUGUAGCAGAAAGUCCAAGAAAAGGCUUACUCCCUUGAGGAUCAAGAAGAAAGAAACAGCGAAGAAAGGUACAGUAGCUGUUAAUAUUAAUGUUGGAGGAGGAAGGGAGGGAGAGAGGACACAGGAGCAGUGAAAAAAAGUCUACUUAUGGCUUUGAUGUGUUCAUUUCCACAGGACCAAUAGCAGCACGGAGAAUACAGAAACCAGAUAAAGAGGAAAAUGAGGAGGUGGAGGUGGUUCAGAUCCCAGGAGGAAUUUUGCUAAAUUCCAAGAAGUCCCAG